UUAAGUUCAGCGGGUAUCCCUACCUGAUCCGAGGUCAACCAUAGAAAAUUGGGGGUUUAAUGGCAGAAGCACGCGGGGACCCUGUAACGAGAGGUAUGUUAUACUACGUUCAGGACCCAACGGCGCCGCCACUGACUUUAAGGCCCGCCGGUCACCCGGCGAAAGCCCAAUACCAAGCUGAGCUUGAGGGUUGAAAUGAC
RNAcentral lists this unclassified non-coding RNA (200 nucleotides) under Ascomycota sp. RNAcentral describes it as "partial internal transcribed spacer 2". Lineage: Eukaryota; Fungi; Ascomycota. The record is from RNAcentral.